GUGGGCAUAGCUCAGUGGUAGAGCACAUGCUUAGUAUGCACAAGGUCCUGGGUUCAAUCCCUAGUACCUCCA
Molecule: transfer RNA, 72 nt
Filed under: Camelus bactrianus (Bactrian camel)
Lineage: Eukaryota; Metazoa; Chordata; Mammalia; Artiodactyla; Camelidae
Also listed under: 2 other names
Rfam family: tRNA
About the family: Transfer RNA (tRNA) molecules are approximately 80 nucleotides in length. Their secondary structure includes four short double-helical elements and three loops (D, anti-codon, and T loops).
Source: Rfam by way of RNAcentral